RNAcentral lists this long non-coding RNA (1035 nucleotides) under Calidris pygmaea (Spoon-billed sandpiper). Its description in RNAcentral is "lncRNA (ENSCPGG00000010609.1)". Lineage: Eukaryota; Metazoa; Chordata; Aves; Charadriiformes; Scolopacidae. The record is from RNAcentral.
AUGUUGGGGGCCCCGGAGCUGGACACAGCACUCCAGGUGGGAUCUCACCACAGCGGUGCAGAGGGGCAGACUCCCCUCCCUUGCCCCGCUGCCCACGCUUCUCUCCAUGCAGCCCAAGAUGGGGGCUGGCUUUCUGAGCUGCCAGCAUCUCCAUCUCCCUCCUCUUCAUCCCCACCUUCCUUCGGCUGGGGCUUUGGCGACCGGGGGUGCCCCCGGCCUCAGCCAUGCCAGGAGCGGCACCCUGCCUCCUCCCGGUGGGGCGGGCGGGGGGUCUCCGGCUGCCGGUCGCCGCCGUGCCUACCUGCGGGGAAACGGAGCCCCUCGCCGCCCGAACCGUCCCGUCCCGUCCCGUCCCGUCCCGUCCCCCCCAAACCGGCGGCCUCCGCCACCCCUCCCCGCUUGGCCUUUCCCUACCCCGCUCCCUUACCUGCUCCGGUGGGCGCUGCCCGGCCCCCCCCCACCCGCGGCCCUUACCGCCGUGGGGGCCCGGGCCGCGUCACGCGGGGUGAAACCGAAAGGCACAACGGGGCGGCUUCCGCGCCCGCGGCGGCGAUGGAGGAGUCCGGCGGCGGCCAGGUCUACUUCUCCCCGCUCUGGCGCCGGGAUGCGCUGCGGCGGCUGCGACGGCUCCGGCGACGGAUCUCCACCGACCCGCUGCUGGCCCCGCUGCCCCCCGGGGCCUUCCGGCCCAAGGGAGGGCCGGCGACGGAGCAAAAGCGGGGAGAGCGGCCGGGUGAGACGGGAGGGACCGCACGGGAGGGGACCGCACGGGAGGGGACGGGAGCUGCGGCGAGGCCCCGGCCGGUGCCCGAGAGGAGAGGGGUUGGGAUGGGGUGGGCCGAGGACCGUCCCUCCCCGUCCCUGCGCUGGGGGGGGGGGGGGGGGCUGCGUCCUGCGGGGAUUUCUGGGAGCUUCGGCAAUUCAAUACCUCUGAAAAUCCGCUCGAGUUUUAGAAAUACUGAAGCUCGGCGGUACCCAGCCCUUUCAGGGGUGGUUGCAACCUGUUUGGAACACCUUAGAAUCACAGAACCAUAG